UACGUAGGGUGCGAGCGUUGUCCGGAAUUAUUGGGCGUAAAGGGCUCGUAGGCGGUCUGUUGCGUCAGGAGUGAAAACUCGGGGCUUAACCCCGAGCCUGCUUCUGAUACGGGCAGACUAGAGGUAUGCAGGGGAGAACGGAAUUCCGGGUGUAGUGGUGGAAUGCGUAGAGAUCCGGAGGAACACCAGCGGCGAAGGCGGCAUCCUGGACUGGUCCUGACGCUCAGGAGCGAAAGCGUGGGGAGCGAUCCGG
This 253-nucleotide ribosomal RNA is filed under the name uncultured bacterium. RNAcentral describes it as "partial 16S ribosomal RNA". It matches the Rfam family "Bacterial small subunit ribosomal RNA", at positions 524 to 776 of the family's 1533-position model. The record is from RNAcentral.